UUGAACGCUGGCGGCAUGCCUUACACAUGCAAGUCGAACGGUAGAGGGGCAACCCUUGAGAGUGGCGAACGGGUGAGUAAUAUAUCGGAACGUGCCCAGUCGUGGGGGAUAACGCAGCGAAAGCUGCGCUAAUACCGCAUACGAUCUAUGGAUGAAAGCGGGGGAUCGCAAGACCUCGCGCGAUUGGAGCGGCCGAUAUCAGAUUAGGUAGUUGGUGGGUAAAAGCCCACC
Molecule: ribosomal RNA, 231 nt
Filed under: uncultured bacterium
Lineage: Bacteria
Description: partial 16S ribosomal RNA
Rfam family: Bacterial small subunit ribosomal RNA
Source: RNAcentral